UAUAGGCUUUUUGAUGUCAAACGUAAAGCUCAGCCGGAAAGCCGGGCUCAGGCAAAUAUCAAGAGAUCAGAAAAGAAAAAACAUAUACCUGUUGUACAUGAUGAGUUGCAUAAAAGUGUGCAAGAUUUACAACACCAAAAGAAAUUG
Molecule: non-coding RNA, 147 nt
Organism: Procambarus clarkii (red swamp crayfish)
Lineage: Eukaryota; Metazoa; Arthropoda; Malacostraca; Decapoda; Cambaridae
Source: RefSeq, a predicted model, not a curated record